GACGAACGCUGGCGGCGUGCUUAACACAUGCAAGUCGAGCGGAAAGGCCCUUCGGGGUACUCGAGCGGCGAACGGGUGAGUAACACGUGAGUAACCUGCCCUAGGCUUUGGGAUAACCCUCGGAAACGGGGGCUAAUACCGGAUAUGACUUCUGGCCGCAUGGCUGGGGUGGAAAGUUUUUUCGGCUUGGGAUGGACUCGCGGCCUAUCAGCUUGUUGGUGGGGUAAUGGCCUACCAAGGCGACGACGGGUAGCCGGCCUGAGAGGGCGACCGGCCACACUGGGACUGAGACACGGCCCAGACUCCUACGGGAGGCAGCAGUGGGGAAUAUUGCACAAUGGGCGGAAGCCUGAUGCAGCGACGCCGCGUGAGGGAUGACGGCCUUCGGGUUGUAAACCUCUUUCAGCAGGGACGAAGCGAGAGUGACGGUACCUGCAGAAGAAGCACCGGCCAACUACGUGCCAGCAGCCGCGGUAAUAC
This 480-nucleotide ribosomal RNA is filed under the name uncultured bacterium. RNAcentral's name for it is "bacterial SSU rRNA". It matches the Rfam family "Bacterial small subunit ribosomal RNA", at positions 28 to 526 of the family's 1533-position model. The record is from RNAcentral.